RNAcentral lists this unclassified non-coding RNA (221 nucleotides) under Hevea brasiliensis (rubber tree). The record is from RNAcentral. Lineage: Eukaryota; Viridiplantae; Streptophyta; Magnoliopsida; Malpighiales; Euphorbiaceae.
AAAAGUAUAAGAAAGUAACCAAAAACAGAGAAAUUAAUCAAAAUAUUUGAAAGAAAUAAAGGUAGAAAUUGACAACCAAAAAUCUAUACCCAAUCCAUUGUCAUAAAAGACUAAUAGAAGUUGUAGCCCUUUUAUGCAAAAAAGAAAAGAAAAAGAACUAAAAGAUGUAAGACUUUUUCUGGUUCUAGCAGACAGACCUCUCGAGGCAUGAGCGUCUUGGG